GAAUGGGCAGAGAAUAUGAAAACCCUUGAAUUCUUUUGUGGCAUCUCUUUUUCCAGGGCUUAGAGCCAAGACUGGAAACGCAGUCAGGCAGCAGGAUGGUGAAUCCAGGGACUUUCUAUGCCAGCAGCUCAAGGGCAAGUCCCAGAGAAUUUGUCCUGCCAGCGUUCCUUGAGAGCUUGGUCAUUCUAGUAGACUUUGGCCGGGCAACAGAGAAAGAGCAGAAGACCGAGUGGGGAAUGAGAGUCUGCAGUACAACCAUCAGCACAUUGGCCUCACUUCUUACCCCACGGCUCUGAGAGACCCGCUAGGAAGCAGAAAGGAGACGUCAUUUGUGGGGAUUGCUAUCGUGGCUGGUGGGAAACAAAAAAGACGCAAGACUGGUCUCCCUUCAAACCACUGCUCAUCCCGCCGCCUCGUUUAGCCUGUCCCAUCUCCGUCCGCACAACAGCUCCUCUCGGCUUCCGGCUGACAAGGGAAAGGAGGACCCUGGAGAGCUGGGCCGGCUCCGAGGGGCUGGGACCUUGCUCUGUGGCCCGGGGACGCCUUCCCUGCACCCUCUGUGGCUCUCGGCUUUGCCGCUUCCGGCCAGCAGCCUCUGAGCUUCCCAUCUUGAGAGGCUGUGGCUCACAUCUCCAAGAAUUAAAAUUCAGGAAGCCAAGUAUUAAAAAAAGAAUCAAGCUUCUAACGUUGCCUAACUAAACUUGAGUCAUUCACAAUACCACCUGUGUGAUUUUUUUUGCUAUAUCUAUAUCCAGGUUCUAUUUUUACUUAAUAUACAGCCAACUCAUUCUUAAAUUAAAUCAGUGUAUUUUAAACAGGAAAUUUUAUAUCACUAC
This 836-nucleotide long non-coding RNA is filed under the name Fukomys damarensis (Damara mole-rat). RNAcentral describes it as "lncRNA (ENSFDAG00000033621.1)". Lineage: Eukaryota; Metazoa; Chordata; Mammalia; Rodentia; Bathyergidae. The record is from RNAcentral.